This 253-nucleotide ribosomal RNA is filed under the name uncultured bacterium. Its description in RNAcentral is "partial 16S ribosomal RNA". It matches the Rfam family "Bacterial small subunit ribosomal RNA", at positions 524 to 776 of the family's 1533-position model. The record is from RNAcentral.
UACAGAGGUCCCAAGCGUUGUUCGGAUUUAUUGGGCGUAAAGGGUGCGUAGGCGGUUGCCUAAGUCUGGUGUGAAAUCUCGGGGCUCAACCUCGAAACUGCACUGGAUACUGGGUAACUUGAGUACUGGAGGGGAGACUGGAAUUUACGGUGUAGCAGUGAAAUGCGUAGAUAUCGCAAGGAAGACCAGUGGCGAAGGCGAGUCUCUGGACAGUUACUGACGCUGAGGCACGAAGGCCAGGGGAGCAAACGGG